GAUGAAGAACGUAGCGAAAUGCGAUACGUAGUGUGAAUUGCAGAAUUCCGUGAAUCAUCGAAUCUUUGAACGCAUAUUGCGGUCGAGGCUCCGGCCGAGACCAUGUCUGCCUCAGCGUCGGUGUGAACCCCACACUCCCCCCUCCGGGGGCGGAGUGGAUCUGGUCUCCCCACUGCUCGUCAGUGGGCUGGCCGAAAUUCAGAGGUUUAAGCUUGGACCUGUAUGGCACCAGCAAGGUAGGUAGCUCGUCUACUCCAGCUGAUGCUUUGGGUACUGGCAGUGAGCCCGCAGGAAAACACCACUCUUUCGACCUGAGAUCAGGCAAGGCUACCCGCUGAACUUAAGCAUAUCAAUAAGCGCAGGA
RNAcentral lists this unclassified non-coding RNA (364 nucleotides) under soil metagenome. Its description in RNAcentral is "partial contains 5.8S ribosomal RNA, internal transcribed spacer 2, and large subunit ribosomal RNA". The stretch from base 1 to 120 matches the Rfam family "5.8S ribosomal RNA", at positions 35 to 154 of the family's 154-position model. The record is from RNAcentral.